RNAcentral lists this ribosomal RNA (483 nucleotides) under uncultured bacterium. Its description in RNAcentral is "partial 16S ribosomal RNA". It matches the Rfam family "Bacterial small subunit ribosomal RNA", at positions 30 to 507 of the family's 1533-position model. The record is from RNAcentral.
AUUGAACGCUGGCGGCAGGCCUAACACAUGCAAGUCGAGCGGAUGAAGGGAGCUUGCUCCUGGAUUCAGCGGCGGACGGGUGAGUAAUGCCUAGGAAUCUGCCUGGUAGUGGGGGAUAACGUCCGGAAACGGGCGCUAAUACCGCAUACGUCCUGAGGGAGAAAGUGGGGGAUCUUCGGACCUCACGCUAUCAGAUGAGCCUAGGUCGGAUUAGCUAGUUGGUGGGGUAAAGGCCUACCAAGGCGACGAUCCGUAACUGGUCUGAGAGGAUGAUCAGUCACACUGGAACUGAGACACGGUCCAGACUCCUACGGGAGGCAGCAGGGGGGAAUAUUGGACAAUGGGCGAAAGCCUGAUCCAGCCAUGCCGCGUGGGUGAAGAAGGUCUUCGGAUUGUAAAGCACUUUAAGUUGGGAGGAAGGCAGUAAGUUAAUACCUUGCUGUUUUGACGUUACCAACAGAAUAAGCACCGGCUAACUUCGUG